RNAcentral lists this ribosomal RNA (253 nucleotides) under uncultured bacterium. Its description in RNAcentral is "partial 16S ribosomal RNA". It matches the Rfam family "Bacterial small subunit ribosomal RNA", at positions 524 to 776 of the family's 1533-position model. The record is from RNAcentral.
UACGAAGGGGGCUAGCGUUGCUCGGAAUCACUGGGCGUAAAGGGUGCGUAGGCGGGUCUUUAAGUCAGGGGGGAAAUCCUGGAGCUCAACUCCAGAACUGCCUUUGAUACUGAAGAUCUUGAGUUCGGGAGAGGUGAGUGGAACUGCGAGUGUGGAGGUGAAAUUCGUAGAUAUUCGCAAGAACACCAGUGGCGAAGGCGGCUCACUGGCCCGAUACUGACGCUGAGGCACGAAAGCGUGGGGAGCAAACAGG